RNAcentral lists this long non-coding RNA (289 nucleotides) under Elaeis guineensis (African oil palm). Its description in RNAcentral is "long non-coding RNA (EGUI_LNC027588)". The record is from RNAcentral. Lineage: Eukaryota; Viridiplantae; Streptophyta; Magnoliopsida; Arecales; Arecaceae.
UGGCAAUUAGCCGGAUCAAAUUAGGUACGGAUCAAAUGAGAAAUUCAUUGAUCCUAUCCAGACAUAUUUAUUAAAUAGAUUAAAAAUUUAGAUUUGAACCUAGCUUAUUUAUUAAAUAAGACACGAUUCAUAUAACAUGUUUAUUAAACUUGUCAAUCCAAGGUAAACAGGUUAAACAAAUUAAAUCGGUCUUGAUGGAUUAAAUAGAUUUAAGUGGAGUAAAUAGGUUAAACAAAUCGGAUUAAAUAAGACAUAAAUUGUUUAAGUAGGUUCAAAACAGAUUAAAUAG